UUGCUAAAUGAUGAAUAAUUAAUUUAAGUUUUUAACCCACAGAGCUGUACUCAUUUGUAUGCUCUGUUUUGAAUAAAUAUAAUGUAAAACUAUCAAACUGAUACUGACAUGGCGAUGGAGGUGUGUAAUUGGUCGGUUUUGUUUCGAACAGAACAAAUGACAGAAGAAUUGAACUGAAUCAGUUCAGUUUGGUUUGUCAAUUUAGAAGAAGCCCAAGUAAACAAAACGCCGCAGUUCUACAUAGCCAAUACCUCAUUUGCCCAAGUCCCAAUUCCAGUAACUUGAAGUCAAGAAGCAAAACAUCAAUCAGAAUAUCAGAUUAACAAAAUAAUCAAUCAAAGUAACAAACUAACAAAAAUUUUCAACAAAUUUUAACAAAAUAAUGUAGAAAUAAGUCAAACAAAUCAAAAACCCUGCCAUUAUUUUGCACCCAAAAUCCCAUUGUUCACCAAAAACUCGACCUUCACUUUACCUUGCUGCAAAGAUUACAUGAGCUUUGAGUCUACCUAGGGCAAAAGAUUGCUUGAGCUUCAAAUCUGCAGAGAUGGAAGAAUCGCGGUGGACGAGUCUCCUAUCUCUAUGGCCAGAGGAUGAGGACCAGGACAAAGGACGAUGCCGAGAAGAAAGAAUCGCGAUGGCCAGGGGACAGCGAAGAGUCGUCCGAAGGGGAGAAUUGCCAAAAACCUAGGGCAAAGCCCUUCGGCCAGAGGCAGAAGUCCAAAGCAAUAGGCGAGAGGGGUAGAGGGCAUGAACGAAUGAAAGGGUUAUUUGUUGAGGCCUAAGGGAUUGUGG
RNAcentral lists this unclassified non-coding RNA (792 nucleotides) under Hevea brasiliensis (rubber tree). Lineage: Eukaryota; Viridiplantae; Streptophyta; Magnoliopsida; Malpighiales; Euphorbiaceae. The record is from RNAcentral.